AACAUUCUUUAUUAAACAGGUUCCGGUUCUUUCUCUGGGAAGAGGGAACGGAUUAAAAGGGAAGUUCGGUGCAAUUCCGAUACGGUCCCGCCACUGUAAGGGGAAAAGGGGGGAGAAGCCCCGGCCGAAGCGCAUCACGUCACUGGUUAAUCCGGGAAGGCGCGCAUAGGGUUCCCGAGUCAGGAGACCUGCCUGUUUACCGGUAACUUC
Regulatory RNA element from Paenibacillus sp. HGF7, 210 nucleotides. NCBI's taxonomy places the organism in Bacteria, Bacillati, Bacillota, Bacilli, Caryophanales, Paenibacillaceae. The record is from Rfam.